GGGGCUGUAGCUCAGUGGUAGAGUGCCCAUCUUGCACAUGUGAGGCAAUGGGUUUGAUCCUCAGCACCA
RNAcentral lists this transfer RNA (69 nucleotides) under Ictidomys tridecemlineatus (thirteen-lined ground squirrel). Its description in RNAcentral is "Spermophilus tridecemlineatus (thirteen-lined ground squirrel) tRNA". It matches the Rfam family "tRNA". Rfam says of the family: Transfer RNA (tRNA) molecules are approximately 80 nucleotides in length. Their secondary structure includes four short double-helical elements and three loops (D, anti-codon, and T loops). The record is from Rfam by way of RNAcentral. Lineage: Eukaryota; Metazoa; Chordata; Mammalia; Rodentia; Sciuridae.